UUGCUUAUACCUCUAUUGUAACAUAUUUAUUAGAAGUUAUCCUCCCACACCAUCCAUUACAACAUAACAUCCAACAUAUAAUUUCAAAAUCAAUUUGUAGUCAUUAUGGAUCAAAACUACAACUAUUACAAAAAUGAUUUAUUACAACGUGCCAAUAACGACAGUUGACAAAAAACUUGUUUGAAGAGUGCGUGAUGAAAAUAUUGUAAUUAAGUUCAUUGACAACCAAGAUGAUGAAGAUGAUUUUGAUUUCGCCAAUUUUUUCUUUUAAAUAUGACGACGUGCUUGAUUAUGAGCUCUUGGUGGAAUUGGAAGGAGAAAUUAUCGUCCGUCUGAGUAGUCCCGUCAUAAAUUUUUUUAUAUCAUAUGAGCAUGCAAUAAUUU
This 384-nucleotide long non-coding RNA is filed under the name Glycine max (soybean). Its description in RNAcentral is "long non-coding RNA (GMAX_LNC000786)". Lineage: Eukaryota; Viridiplantae; Streptophyta; Magnoliopsida; Fabales; Fabaceae. The record is from RNAcentral.